CCUGGCCUUGACAUACUAAGAACUUUCCAGAGAUGGAUUGGUGCCUUCGGGAACUUAGAUACAGGUGCUGCAUGGCUGUCGUCAGCUCGUGUCGUGAGAUGUUGGGUUAGGUCCGCAACGAGCGCAACCCUUUUCCUUAUUUGCCAGCGGGUAAUGCCGGGAACUUUAAGGAUACUGCCAGUGACAAACUGGAGGAAGGCGGGGACGACGUCAAGUCAUCAUGGCCCUUACGGCCAGGGCUACACACGUGCUACAAUGGUCGGUACAAAGGGUUGCUACCUCGCGAGAGGAUGCUAAUCUCAAAAAGCCGAUCGUAGUCCGGAUCGCAGUCUGCAACUCGACUGCGUGAAGUCGGAAUCGCUAGUAAUCGCGGAUCAGAAUGCCGCGGUGAAUACGUUCCCGGGCCUUGUACACACCGCCCGUCACACCAUGGGAGUUUGUUGCACCAGAAGUAGGUAGUCUAACCGCAAGGAGGACGCUUACCACGGUGUGGCCGAUGACUGGGGUGAAGUCGUAACAAGGUAGGCGUAGAUGA
Molecule: ribosomal RNA, 535 nt
Filed under: uncultured bacterium
Lineage: Bacteria
Description: bacterial SSU rRNA
Rfam family: Bacterial small subunit ribosomal RNA
Source: RNAcentral